GAGGGGGGCAUUGCUUCAUGGAGAAUGUCAGUCAGACCCUGAAUGGUUUUCACUGUGCCGUCGCAGUACCAGCUCCAGCACACUCUCUGAAAUGGAACUCCAGGUGUUUCCGUCUGACAGACACCAGAGAGGGCCCAGACGAUGCCUGGAAUUAAUUCGUUUGGGGUAAAAUUCUACAGCAGGACUGUCCAAUCGCAGUCCUGGAGGGCCAUUCCAAUUCAGAUUUAACAGGACUGGUACGCAACAUCUCCUUUCCUGUGAUGUCCACAUUAAUGGAAAGCUUUAUGAAUGAAUUUCUCCAAGGAAGUGGCAGACUCGAGCAGGUCUGAAUUUUCUCCGUUCAUCAUUCAUCCAGGAGAUCAGGUGAAACGAUAAUAAAUCACUGAAGGGGAAAAUUGAAACAAGCUUGACGUACUUGGCCUCCUGUAGCCACGGAAUGAAAGGCUGUUUUGUGGUGACUAAACCACCUCCCUCCCUGGACUGGACACCUUGAUCCUGACAGCAGCUCAUAAACAUGGCCAAGCUUUCAUUGGCUGCCCAGCUCUCUCCUGCAUGUCCAAGACCCUCCAACAGGCUGUGAACUGCGACCUUACGACCUUUGCCCCACUUGCCCUUGCCAAACCUGCAUCAGAUUACAGGCUCCAAAGGGAAGGCCUGCAUCAAAAUUAAGAGAGGAAACCCAACACCCCUGCUGUAAACACAGCCCCCCUGUGAACAGGGCCCAGCCUCUCUCCCAGAGGAAGAGAAUUCUAAAACUGCUCCCAUGCAGAAACUGGGCUGUGACCUCAUCACAACUCCUGAGGUAGGCGGAGCUGGGCCUGGUUGGUGGUUCAAUGCUGCAGAGUACGGUGGUGUUGGGACACACUGUAUCUCAUACAGACACACACACACUGUACCUCAUACAGACACACACACACUGUACCUCGUACAGACACACACGCUGUACCUCAUACAGACACACACACUGUACCUCACAGCUGCUUCUGGGUGGCCAGCAGACCCUCAGCUGUCAUUGCAGCUCCUCCUGAAAGAAACAGGGAACAAGACCUGGGUCCAGUCCCUCUCUGUGUAUGAUGGUAUACCUUCACACAUAAAACCCUUGAUUUCAUAAAGUAGCAUUGGUUUAAGAGCCGUGAGAUUCAACUGACCAGUGAACUGAUUUAUGGGUUAUUAUAUUAGAUUAUGUGCAGACCUAGUAUUUUUUUAAAACAGGUAUUGGUAUAGAUAAACAUCUAGAAUCAUCUGCCAAAAAGACAAUGAUUGUCAAAAUAUCUCAUCUCCAUGGGUGUCCCAUAAGUCAGGCAUCGUAAGCCAUAUCGCACAUUAUACUGAUCAGGAUGUUCUCUGUUAAAUCGGACGGCCACACCCUCUAGACUAUCUGCACCACACAUUAAAAUGAUCUCUUUGCUUAAAGACAUUUCACACCUGAAACAGAGAGAACAGGGCCAAUAUCAACAGUUAUGCCUGUGAUUCCUGGCUUAUGGGACUCUCUGUAGAAAGAAAGAAAGAAAGAAAGAACAGAUGAGCUCUUGUGCACUCCCUCUCGGCUCCCUGUUUGUUUUAGAUUAACAGGUGUGAUCUUGUCGGUUCCUUGCUGCAGCUGGGUGUCCCUCCUGGCCUCUUUGAAGUGUCUCCUGUGAUGUGUGUGGAGCAGAGCGCUCCCUCGGUAAACGAGAGGGGCUCCUGGUGUCUGAGAUGGCCAGGUUUGUCGCAGCUGUGGGUCAGAGAGGCAGAGGUGUCACCUGGACCCCAUGUGAACAGGAUACACUUGUGUCAAUAUUUGUCAUGGCACCCCUGUCUGUGUGGGCCCCUCCGGGGCUCUCGCAGUCCAUCACAAGCCUCUAUUAACAUUCAAACAAAAGAUGUUCACUGGAACAUAAAAGAAACUUAGUCAUAUACAAGUUAAUAUGCUAGUUAAUUCACUCUGUGUUUGGCUUGCUCAAGGUCUUCCCAGUCUCGUGGACAUUGAUUUAAGACCCCUGGGCUUACUGCUCCAACACUACCUCUAUUAUAUUUCAAAGGCCCCUUCAUGUAUAAAGCUCUAUUUGAAAUGUUUCCACAUUCCAAAAACAUUUGGUAUUAAUCAACAGGUCAUUAGACUAUGACAUCAGAAAGGUCUGCAGUUACUGUGGUCGGCAUGUGUGGAGUGUGACAGGUAGACUGACAGGCAGGCAGGCAGACGCGAUCAGCGCAAUAUCUCUGUCUAUUAAUUACUAAGCAAGCGCUCAGCCAGCAUCAUUCUCAUCACGCUUGGACUGAAGGACCACACAACGCUCAACCCCAUUGUGUGAAAACAAGAGCUCCGUUUGGUUUAAACAAACACAGAUCCUGAAGAAUGGGUGCAUGAGGAUUGCAAGGCCAGGGAGCCAGGGAUUGCACUGCAGAAGCAAAUGGAGGGCUCCCAAAAUCCGUUGGCACUUUUGGGAGAAAGCUGACUUUUAUCCCCAAGCUUUCACUCUGUUUUAGCAGAGCCCUAGAAAAACGGUCAAACAUGAUGCAGACUGUGGAUCGGAUUCUUAAAACAGUGACAACUUAAAAAUUAAUAAAGUGAUAGCAUAAAAAAAAAAAUAAGAUGUCAUUUGAAGCAGCUUUAAGUUUUUCAAUUGCCCAGUUUAGACACCAAACACAAAUCUGUUGCGGGAAAGGGCCGUGUAAAAUAUUACUGUUCCUGACCCAAUGUGUUAAAUUUAGAAAGUUUUUGUAUGGUUGGUAAAAAAAAAAAAAACAACAGCUAAUAAAACAUUAUUUGGUUUGUGUUUUUCCACUUGGGGAAUUACUAUAACAUUUUAUAACAGCAGGUUAAGAAAAUAUUGUUCUUGUUACACACAUUAUAUGACACUACAAAGAUAACAUACGGCUAUAUAUCAUUUCUAAAGUCUAGGCGCAAAAAGUGAGUUCCCGAUUUCUACUGGCUCUAAAGUGCGCCCUGUCAAAUACACUGCAAUCCAUUAUGUUAUUAACAAUGACAAUUCAACGAGAUUUAGGACAGAUCAAGGCUAAAGCCCAGCUGUUCAAAUCAGCAUUUUAUAAAUAAAAUUCCAAACACAGCGUCAACCCAGAAUGCUUUAUUACUUCUUGAUAUUCAUUGAUGCUGUUUUUUUUAUAUGUGCAAUAAAACACAUGCUCUAGGUAUUGUUCUGCCUUUGCAGAUCCCAGGUGGCACAUGUUGUAAACGCUGCUGUCCGGAGUUUGCAGGCUCACAAUGUGCAUUGAUGAUACCUAUGUGUUGAUCAACAGUGAGGCACAAUACCGUUUACAGUGUUUGCUGUGCUGCAAACACUUUGAAUAAGGUUUGCAAAUGUUUACAGACGGCGAGUAAACCGUAACGCAAACAGGCAGUAGAGAAUCACACACUUGAGUAAACUCGACACCUUGGGCUGUGUGGUCGGAAAGAUGCGUUGGGCUUGAAUCUCGUUAAUCAUCGCUUCAUUUAAAAACCUGCGGAGCGUCAGCCUUUACCAAGCUUGGUACCUUGCUUUUCUGUGCUUUCCCUGUGCUUUCCUUCCCUUUGCUACGAUUUUACUGCUGGCAUGUACUGCUAUGGCCAAAAGUUUUGAAAUUGAAUUGUCUAAAUCAAUUUCAAAACUUCCCAGCCUCCUACACAUUGAUUUAAGACCCCUGGGCUUACUGUUCCAACACUACCUCCAUCACAUUUCAAAGGCCCCUCUCCCCUCCUUCCUUAUUUUAAGGCUACAGGAUGGCUUUAUUAUAACCAGGUCCCUGUUUCUGACAGGCUGGGCUGGCCCUCAUGUUUCUCAUAAACUCGGGCUUGACUUGUUUUCACAGUUCCUUCAAAGAGAAAAGAGAAUCUCGUGAGGAACGCGCUUGUUUGAUGAUGUCAGUAUCCAAUCACUCGUAUUGCCCAGUGCCUGUAAACUGGGUGUCUAGUAAAAGCUAGUUUUUGUACUGGUGGAAUAGUGAAAUCUGUAACAGCAAUACCA
Acipenser ruthenus (sterlet) is the source of this 3941-nucleotide long non-coding RNA. RefSeq lists it as uncharacterized. NCBI's taxonomy places the organism in Eukaryota, Metazoa, Chordata, Actinopteri, Acipenseriformes, Acipenseridae. The record is from RefSeq and is a predicted model, not a curated record. The transcript is spliced from 3 exons.